AAAUUCUGGGGUUCCUGAUACCUGGACCAUGGUUUAAAAGGAGGGGUAUAGGCUCUAGGUGGGCAUGUCUUCUUGGCUCCUUGGGCCCCUCACCCCAUGGCUGGAGAAGGACCAGAAUGAGUGCCUCUAAAUUAUGGAGAUCGAAGGUUGCCGUAUACAAAGUGACCGGAGCAGAGUGACAUGAGACAGAAUGACCCACGAUCUCUGAGUAGGAAGGCAACUUAAAUGGAUGAAGAUAAAAUGAAUGGAUCCAUGACACUCAAUGGGCAUUCUUACGAUCCUUAAAUAUGAUACAUGGCGAUAAUUUUACAAGCCAAGAUAGCAAAAGCGGAGCUGACAUUUAAUUGACACCGCCAAAGCAUGGCUUGAUGAGCAGUGUGUAGGUCUGCCCCCGGGAUCUGAACCCACAAACCCUGGGCAGCUGAAGUGGAGUGUCCUAACCUAACCACUACGCCACUGGGCUGGCCCCAGAAGUUUUUAAUUAAGAGGGAUUCAGUAAGGAAGACAAGUAAAGGUUUAGAAGUCAGGUAAUUAUUUUCCUUUACCCUUAUUUUGCUUUAUACUCAGAUGACAUGAUCUUUUAGAAGGCAAGGCAAACAUCUACACACAUAUAUAUCUUUUUUUAUAAUUAUAAGAAAUGCACUGGCACAGACUGUUGUUUCUUAACGAGACCCUCAAGCCUAUGAGUCCUUCCUACUGAUGUAAUUUCUGACCCUUCCAUAAUUGUAAUGACUCACAGUCCUGAAACCCACUGAGUGAGUGGGGCUAUUGAUUUUAUGGUGAUCUAUACCAAAGUAAAGAUUUAUAAGUGUGUGGAUCUUGACGACUGUGCUACUUAAAAAGACCUGAAACAAGUGAAACACUGGUGAGCUGAAAUAGGUUUGCUGUAAAGAUUUGAAUCCAUGAGGACAGGACAACAUCCUCCCCACAACAAGGAAGUCUUUGGUUAAAGUGGUGAAAUGAGCACAGCAUCAAGCUAUCCCCUCCCAAAUUGUCAUAGAGUGACACAUAGACCACGUCAAAAAGGAAA
Molecule: long non-coding RNA, 1030 nt
Filed under: Equus caballus (horse)
Lineage: Eukaryota; Metazoa; Chordata; Mammalia; Perissodactyla; Equidae
Description: lncRNA (ENSECAG00000060347.1)
Source: RNAcentral